This 292-nucleotide ribosomal RNA is filed under the name uncultured bacterium. Its description in RNAcentral is "partial 16S ribosomal RNA". It matches the Rfam family "Bacterial small subunit ribosomal RNA", at positions 505 to 796 of the family's 1533-position model. The record is from RNAcentral.
GUGCCAGCAGCCGCGGUAAUACGUAGGGGGCAAGCGUUGUUCGGAAUUACUGGGCGUAAAGGGCGCGUAGGCGGCACAGCAAGUCGGGAGUGAAAGCCCGGGGCUCAACCCCGGAACUGCUUUCGAAACUGCUGAGCUAGAGUACAGAAGGGGCAACCGGAAUUCCCAGUGUAGCGGUGAAAUGCGUAGAUAUUGGGAAGAACACCUGAGGCGAAGGCGGGUUGCUGGGCUGAUACUGACGCUGAGGCGCGAAAGCCAGGGGAGCAAACGGGAUUAGAAACCCUCGUAGUCC